This 96-nucleotide non-coding RNA is filed under the name Mariniphaga anaerophila. RNAcentral describes it as "TPP sequence". It matches the Rfam family "TPP riboswitch aptamer (THI element)". From Rfam's summary of the family: Vitamin B(1) in its active form thiamin pyrophosphate (TPP) is an essential coenzyme that is synthesised by coupling of pyrimidine and thiazole moieties in bacteria. The previously detected thiamin-regulatory element, thi box was extended, resulting in a new, highly conserved RNA secondary structure, the THI element, which is widely distributed in eubacteria and also occurs in some archaea. Lineage: Bacteria; Pseudomonadati; Bacteroidota; Bacteroidia; Marinilabiliales; Prolixibacteraceae. The record is from Rfam by way of RNAcentral.
UUUAUGCAAUGGGGGUGCCUUAACAUUAAGGGCUGAGAUUAUACCCACAGAACCUGAUCCGGGUAAUGCCGGCGAAGGGAGGGCAAAAGGGAUGCG